GUCACUAUACUUUAUUGUUAGAAGAUUUGGUUUGCAACUAAAUAGAGGGAUAAUUUCCCUAGUGCCAA
This 68-nucleotide transfer RNA is filed under the name Pleurobranchaea sp. TY-2016. Its description in RNAcentral is "tRNA-Ala". The record is from RNAcentral. Lineage: Eukaryota; Metazoa; Mollusca; Gastropoda; Pleurobranchida; Pleurobranchidae.